GACGAACGCUGGCGGCGUGCUUAACACAUGCAAGUCGAACGGACAGGCCCUGCUUUUGUGGGGUGCUCGAGUGGCGAACGGGUGAGUAACACGUGAGUAACCUGCCCUUGACUUUGGGAUAACUUCAGGAAACUGGGGCUAAUACCGGAUAGGAGCUCCUGCUGCAUGGUGGGGGUUGGAAAGUUUCGGCGGUUGGGGAUGGACUCGCGGCUUAUCCGCUUGUUGGUGGGGUAGUGGCUUACCAAGGCUUUGACGGGUAGCCGGCCUGAGAGGGUGACCGGCCACAUGGGGACUGAGAUACGGCCCAGACUCCUACGGGAGGCAGCAGUGGGGAAUAUUGCACAAUGGGCGGAAGCCUGAGGCAGCAACGCCGCGUGCGGGAUGACGGCCUUCGGGGUGUAAACCGCUGUCGCCUGUGACGAAGCGUGAGUGACGGUAAUGGGUAAAGAAGCACCGGCUAACUACGUG
Molecule: ribosomal RNA, 468 nt
Filed under: uncultured bacterium
Lineage: Bacteria
Description: partial 16S ribosomal RNA
Rfam family: Bacterial small subunit ribosomal RNA
Source: RNAcentral